GGAGGCCACACAAGCGAGCCGCGUACCCACGAUCAAACGGUCCAGAUUCGUUCCCGCGCGCACGGACGGCAUGAAUGUGUUCCCUCCCCAAUCGCGAUCGGAUGACCAAAUUUAAACACGAUCAAUGGUCCAGAUUUGCUUCCUAUUUAAAUGUGAUCGAACAAUCCAGAUUAGAUCGCGAUUGGCGAUCCAGAUUCACUUCCUUUUUAAUCGCAAUCGGAUAGUAUAGAUCAAACGCGAUGGACGGUCCAU
Molecule: long non-coding RNA, 252 nt
Filed under: Carica papaya (papaya)
Lineage: Eukaryota; Viridiplantae; Streptophyta; Magnoliopsida; Brassicales; Caricaceae
Description: long non-coding RNA (CPAP_LNC007228)
Source: RNAcentral